UGGGAAAAUAAGACGGAUCUAAAAUAGUGUGCGAAGACCUUGCUUGAAUACAGCAGAUGGAGCUGCCUGCCCUGAUGUGGAGCAAACCACAACCUUCUGAAGGCAGAUGGCCCCUGCACACUUUUUGCCUUUUAAAUAGAAGUGACAUAGCCCACAUCCUGCACACUUCCAAGAUAAGGUAAGCAAGAGUGUAUUCUUAAACAGAGAAAAGAAGAACUGAAAGGCAGAAUGAUGAAAAAUUCAAGGAGACUAUGACCUCUUUGGGGUAAACUAAUUUUAAGGAGAGAUUUACGAGAUGAAACAUGCUUAAGUUUUCAUCUGGAAUAUUAUGUUAAAUUUUGUUACAUAAUAUUGUAUUACCUUGGACAGUUUUUUGCAAACUACCGUGUUCUUCUUAUUUACCUUUGACUUAAACCUAUGUAGCUCUGUAGAUUUCUUUGGUGACAUUUUACACUGUGUAGAUUACGUCAGCACCCAGCAUUUGCUUUCUCUG
Long non-coding RNA from Lepidothrix coronata (blue-crowned manakin), 493 nucleotides. RefSeq lists it as uncharacterized. The record is from RefSeq and is a predicted model, not a curated record. The transcript has 3 exons. Lineage: Eukaryota; Metazoa; Chordata; Aves; Passeriformes; Pipridae.